UGGGGAAUAUUGGACAAUGGGGGGAACCCUGAUCCAGCCAUGCCGCGUGUGUGAAGAAGGCCUUAUGGUUGUAAAGCACUUUAAGCGAGGAGGAGGCUACUGAGACUAAUACUCUUGGAUAGUGGACGUUACUCGCAGAAUAAGCACCGGCUAACUCUGUGCCAGCAGCCGCGGUAAUACAGAGGGUGCGAGCGUUAAUCGGAUUUACUGGGCGUAAAGCGUGCGUAGGCGGCUUUUUAAGUCGGAUGUGAAAUCCCCGAGCUUAACUUGGGAAUUGCAUUCGAUACUGGGAAGCUAGAGUAUGGGAGAGGAUGGUAGAAUUCCAGGUGUAGCGGUGAAAUGCGUAGAGAUCUGGAGGAAUACCGAUGGCGAAGGCAGCCAUCUGGCCUAAUACUGACGCUGAGGUACGAAAGCAUGGGGAGC
Molecule: ribosomal RNA, 423 nt
Filed under: uncultured Acinetobacter sp.
Lineage: Bacteria; Pseudomonadati; Pseudomonadota; Gammaproteobacteria; Moraxellales; Moraxellaceae
Description: bacterial SSU rRNA
Rfam family: Bacterial small subunit ribosomal RNA
Source: RNAcentral